UCGCAUCCGCCAAUCGGUCAAGCCGUGUCGCGGAAGGUUUUUCAAGCGAACCAACUAAUGCGCUUCGAAGAAGUGCGGAGGUCCUGCG
Lampropedia sp. is the source of this 88-nucleotide regulatory RNA element. It matches the Rfam family "SucA RNA motif". NCBI's taxonomy places the organism in Bacteria, Pseudomonadati, Pseudomonadota, Betaproteobacteria, Burkholderiales, Comamonadaceae. The record is from Rfam.